Molecule: ribosomal RNA, 236 nt
Filed under: uncultured bacterium
Lineage: Bacteria
Description: partial 16S ribosomal RNA
Rfam family: Bacterial small subunit ribosomal RNA
Source: RNAcentral
CCGGCACGGGUGAGUAACACGUAUCCAACCUGCCGUCUACUCUUGGACAGCCUUCUGAAGGAAGAUUAAUACAAGGUGGCAUCAUGAGUCCGCAUGUUCACAUGAUUAAAGGUAUUCCGGUAGACGAUGGGGAUGCGUUCCAUUAGAUAGUAGGCGGGGUAACGGCCCACCUAGUCUUCGAUGGAUAGGGGUUCUGAGAGGAAGGUCCCCCACAUUGGAACUGAGACACGGUCCAA